Molecule: ribosomal RNA, 468 nt
Filed under: uncultured bacterium
Lineage: Bacteria
Description: partial 16S ribosomal RNA
Rfam family: Bacterial small subunit ribosomal RNA
Source: RNAcentral
GACGAACGCUGGCGGCGUGCUUAACACAUGCAAGUCGAACGGAAAGGCCCUGCUCUUGUGGGGUGCUCGAGUGGCGAACGGGUGAGUAACACGUGAGUAACCUGCCCUUGACUUUGGGAUAACUUCAGGAAACUGGGGCUAAUACCGGAUAGGAGCUCCUGCUGCAUGGUGGGGGUUGGAAAGUUUCGGCGGUUGGGGAUGGACUCGCGGCUUAUCAGCUUGUUGGUGGGGUAGUGGUUUACCAAGGCUUUGACGGGUAGCCGGCCUGAGAGGGUGGCCGGCCACAAUGGGACUGAGGUACGGCCCAGACGCCUACGGGACGCAGCAGUGGGGAAUCUUGCGCAAUGGGCGGAAGCCUGAUGCAGCGACGCCGCGUGCGGGAUGACGGCCUUCGGGUUGUAAACCGCUUUCGCCGGUGACGAAGCGUGAGUGACGGUAAUGAGUAAAGAAGCACCGGCUAACUACGUG